Molecule: ribosomal RNA, 292 nt
Filed under: uncultured bacterium
Lineage: Bacteria
Description: partial 16S ribosomal RNA
Rfam family: Bacterial small subunit ribosomal RNA
Source: RNAcentral
GUGCCAGCCGCCGCGGUAAUACGGAGGGUGCAAGCGUUGUCCGGAAUCACUGGGCGUAAAGGGUGCGUAGGCGGCGUGCUAAGUCAGAUGUGAAAUUUCGGGGCUCAACCUCGAACCUGCAUUUGAUACUGGCAUGCUAGAGGACUGGAGAGGAGAUUGGAAUUCACGGUGUAGUAGUGAAAUGCGUAGAUAUCGUGAGGAAGACCAGUGGCGAAGGCGAAUCUCUGGACAGUAUCUGACGCUGAGGCACGAAGGCCAGGGGAGCGAACGGGAUUAGAAACCCGAGUAGUCC